Non-coding RNA from Paramisgurnus dabryanus, 197 nucleotides. NCBI's taxonomy places the organism in Eukaryota, Metazoa, Chordata, Actinopteri, Cypriniformes, Cobitidae. The record is from RefSeq and is a predicted model, not a curated record.
AAGACAUCAUCCUCUUCUACAAUCUCCAUCUGUAAUUGGACUAACAACUGGACCAGUGAAUGCAGGUCACACCAUGGUCUCAAGAGGGAAAAUGAGUGCUCUAUGGAUUGAACAGAAAAGGUGAAUCAAAACUCCAACCAUCUGUAUGAGGGUCUGGAUGGAUAAAGGAUGCCCACUGGAGCUGGAAAUGAUGGAUC